Molecule: small RNA, 1772 nt
Filed under: Pongo abelii (Sumatran orangutan)
Lineage: Eukaryota; Metazoa; Chordata; Mammalia; Primates; Hominidae
Description: processed transcript
Source: RNAcentral
AGAUGAAGCCCCGCGCUCCCCAGAGCCCAGCCCUGGUCACCGCGUGCUGUGUGGGUGCCUGUGCCAGGAUCAGCUGGCUGGACGGCUAUGGCCCCACACCUGCAGGCCACGUACCUGGGAGAGUGUGGGCCUUCAGAGCCUUCUGGCUCCCAGCCCCACAGAGGAAUUACGGUCCCGUGUCCCUCACAAGGACCCUUGCAGUGGGAGCAGUGCAUCGGCACAGAGCAGGACACAGGGGAGCCGGGCUGAGGCUGCGGGUCCUUUGUGGCCGCCAGGUGCUCACACGUGCCUCGGUGGGGAUCUGGCAGCCAGAUUUGGGGUGAAGAUUUGAUGAUGUGGGUAUCCCUAGCUGGUCCCACAGUGACGAUGGGUGUUGCGUUGUGAGCAUGUAAAACAGCAGUGACGUCUGAGGGUCCCUGGACGUCUUUCACACCCAGUCUCAAAGCGGAGCCUUUCCAGGCAGAGCAGCAGCUGCCGCCACUGGAUUGACAGCCCCAGAGCAGCGGGAUCAGGCCAUGAGGACGAGGAGCCUAGGGGCCUAGGGCCUGCUUCUCAGAGCAUCACGGGGCCCACCAAGAAGUGCCCCCUGGGGAGGUAACGGCGUCUUCCAGAAAUGCCGCCGCCCACAAAGAGGACUGGCCUGUGCCGGAAGCUGGAGAUGGUGGGGUUCGAUUGGCACCUGCUGCGGCGAGUCCUUUGCACAUGUUGGCAACACACGCGUCCGCAUCGGCCUCCCUGCCCACAAAGCGCCACAAUGGUGACCAGCCGGAGCAGCCGGAGCUGAAGCGGAUCAAGACAGAAGACGGCGAGAGCAUUGUCAUUGCCCUGAGUGUGGACACGCCACCGGCAGCCGUAAGGGAAAAGGGUGUCCAGAACUAGCGACUGGGAGAGCUUUUCUUUAACAAUAUCAACUGUGGUGCCAAAAGGAGACGUGGCCUCCCGCCAGCACUCGGGGGUGCAGGGCCCUGUGGUUGGACUUCACCUCUCAGCACUGAAAACAGAAAACCCAGGUGGCCUUAACACUCCUUAGUUUAAAGACAGAAGUCACACUUGAACAAAACCCACACACAACAAAACCUGAUUUGGGAGACAGUGUCUCCACUGAGCACCUGCUGGGCUGAGCUUUUACCUACACGUGAAACUGUCCUCCCGCGAGGACCAGGCAUCGCUGUGUGAGGACGGCACAGCCAGCGCCUGCCGUGAGUGGGUCUCCCAGGACUAGGCCUCAGGACACGGGGGGUGCCGUCCCCGCCGCCCUCACAGGACCCACCAGGCAGCGGAGACGUGGAAUUAGAGUAUUUUGAGGUGUCCUUUCUUUACAAAAUAAUGGGGUCUUGGGCAUUUCACAUCACUCCAUUUCUACUCAGACUUUCGGAAUCACACAGGCCCUUUCCGUGGAUUUCAUCUGGGGAAAAGAAACAACGUAGUUUUGUUUUUGUUUUCAGCCUAUGGAAUGAUUUCGUCUGUCUUGUUAAAGUUCAGAUGAAGCUACUCUGGCAUCUGCACAUUUCCGUGUUACAGCAGCUGCCUGAUGAAUUUUAUCCACCUCCAUUUCAGCGUGUGGCUCGCGUGGACAGGUGGACGGACACUGUGGCCGCAUGGAACCUUGAGAACCCAGGGAGGAGCCGGUGCCAGGAAGGAACUGCCGGGACUCACCGAGCUGCACUUAACUGUUCUCUUUCUGGCUAUUUUUUGUUUCUUUGUGUUGACUUUGUCCCUGGCAAAAUUUUCCACUCUGAGUAAAACAAGUCUCCUAAGUAUUGUGUAUGUUU